Athalia rosae (coleseed sawfly) is the source of this 912-nucleotide long non-coding RNA. RefSeq lists it as uncharacterized. NCBI's taxonomy places the organism in Eukaryota, Metazoa, Arthropoda, Insecta, Hymenoptera, Athaliidae. The transcript is spliced from 3 exons. The record is from RefSeq and is a predicted model, not a curated record.
AUCGUGGAAAUGCUAGGGCUGCGUAAAUCGUAUACAAUAAUCCCGUUACUAUGACAAACGAUGUUCCUGCUGCCAGAAGAUUUUGCACCCCAAAACAAUUGUUGAUUUCUUGGGACAGCUUGCAGAGUUCCAAAUGAACUUUUCUGGUUGAAUAACAAUACAGACCUUGUAUUUUCAAUCCGCAGGACUAGCGAGCUUGAGGUUCUAGACUUAAUGAUAUCAGCUCAUUGGAGAUUAUCUACCUGCAUUUUACCAAAGCUCCCCAGUACCGGAAGUAGCGUUUAUCAUUCAUCAAAUUUUCUACAUCCCAUAUUGGAGAUUCCAAUGCUGCAACAUUGCUAGAUAUGUCGAUCUGCUCAUUCCCUCUGGGAUAAAAACAAGUUGUUGACUCUGUUAGUCGCAACAAACCAACAUUCAAAUCUCGCAAUUUUUCUCCAACAUAUCUAAGCAACGAAACACGAAAAUCAAUCAAACAGCAUGACCGUUAUAUUUGGUAGUUAUGAGAUAAUGGUUUUAAAUAGGUAACAUACCCUAGCAGAGUCCAAAAGUUCAAGUUCAAUAUGAUGAUAACAGAUAUCGGUUGGAACAUGGUUUUUAUAAUGAUGGAAUUACUCACUGAAAUUCCAUCCUCAAGGAGCAUAUUGCCGUUCACAAGGCCUACACAAAAUGUAAUAAGCUUGAUCCCUGCAAUUUGGAAACACAAACGGACAAAGCGUCGCCGAUGUUCUUUCUGAACUUCAACUCCAAAGAUCAUCUUAAAUUUCUCAUCCAAUAUUAGUAUCAGCUAUGUUCAAUGAGGACACAAACAUCCCAUCACGCGCAGCCUCUAUCAAGUCCCGACUGCCAAUGUAAGUCGACACCACAUUUCCAAAGUUCACCGAAAUUGUAAAGAAAAUUGCUAACGAAUGUAAC